CUUUAGGUUCAUUCUUGUAAGUGUUGCUGGUGUCAGAAUAGGAACCUCCCUGCGCUUUGAAGGGAUGAAUGUGACCUCUCCCACAUUCUCCGGUGCUGUGAUGUACCUUAAACACAGCAAGGACACCUGGCCUGGGUGGAGCCCACUCCUCAGCACCCACCUCACUUCUGGCAGUAUUCUGCAGACCCCAGCCCUGUGCCUGUGCUCCUGCACAGCUGGAGAUAAGGAGUGGGCCCUGGAAGAUGCUCAGUCAGGCCCUGCUCCAGAUUUUA
Molecule: long non-coding RNA, 272 nt
Filed under: Homo sapiens (human)
Lineage: Eukaryota; Metazoa; Chordata; Mammalia; Primates; Hominidae
Description: non-protein coding lnc-SERPINB6-2:3
Source: RNAcentral